Molecule: ribosomal RNA, 371 nt
Filed under: uncultured organism
Description: partial 16S ribosomal RNA
Rfam family: Bacterial small subunit ribosomal RNA
Source: RNAcentral
GUAGGGUCCAAGCGUUAAUCGGGAAUUACUGGGCGUAAAGCGUGCGCAGGCGGUUGCGCAAGACCGAUGUGAAAUCCCCGGGGCUUAACCUGGGAAUUGCAUUGGUGACUGCACGGCUAGAGUGUGUCAGAGGGGGGUAGAAUUCCACGUGUAGCAGUGAAAUGCGUAGAGAUGUGGAGGAAUACCGAUGGCGAAGGCAGCCCCCUGGGAUAACACUGACGCUCAUGCACGAAAGCGUGGGGAGCAAACAGGAUUAGAUACCCUGGUAGUCCACGCCCUAAACGAUGUCAACUAGUUGUUGGGGAUUCAUUUCCUUAGUAACGUAGCUAACGCGUGAAGUUGACCGCCUGGGGAGUACGGUCGCAAGAUUA